This 1963-nucleotide ribosomal RNA is filed under the name human gut metagenome. Its description in RNAcentral is "bacterial LSU rRNA". It matches the Rfam family "Bacterial large subunit ribosomal RNA", at positions 1 to 1983 of the family's 2925-position model. The record is from RNAcentral.
AAAAGUAAGUAAGGGCACAUGGCGGAUGCCUUGGCUCUCGGAGGCGAUGAAGGACGUGAUAAGCUGCGAUAAGCUGCGGGUAGGUGCAAAUGACCUUUGAUCCGCGGAUUUCCGAAUGGGACAACCCGGUACUUUGAAGAAGUAUCAUCCUGCAUUGCAGGAGGCUAACGCAGGGAACUGAAACAUCUUAGUACCUGCAGGAAAAGAAAAUAAACAAUGAUUCCCCCAGUAGUGGCGAGCGAACGGGGAACAGCCCAAACCAUCCAUGUUACGGCAUGGGUGGGGUUGUAGGACUACGUCGUUGCAUGAAGACAUCAGAGAAGAACUUUCUGGAAAGAAAGACCAUAGAGCAUGACAGUUGCGUAUUCGAAUGUUGUCGAAGCAUAGUAGUAUCCUGAGUAGCGCGGAGCACGAGGAAUUCUGCGUGAAUCUGCCGGGACCAUCCGGUAAGGCUAAAUACUCCCGAGAGACCGAUAGUGAACCAGUACUGUGAAGGAAAGGUGAAAAGCACUUCGAACAGAAGAGUGAAAUAGUUCCUGAAACCAUGUGCCUACAAGCGGUCGGAGCACCUUUUGGUGUGACGGCGUGCCUUUUGCAUAAUGAACCUACGAGUUACUUUUUCCGGCGAGGUUAAGGAUUUCAGAUCUGCAGCCGAAGCGAAAGCGAGUCUGAACAGGGCGUAUAGUCGGAAGGAGUAGACGCGAAACCAAGUGAUCUACCCUUGGGCAGGUUGAAGGAUGGGUAACACCAUCUGGAGGACCGAACCAAUAAGCGUUGAAAAGCUUCUGGAUGACCUGAGGGUGGGGGUGAAAGGCUAAUCAAACUUGGAGAUAGCUCGUACUCCCCGAAAUGCAUUUAGGUGCAGCCUUGACUUAUACUGGCAUGAGGUAGAGCGACUGAUAAGAUGCGAGGGCUUCACCGCCUAUCAAGUCUUGACAAACUCCGAAUGCGUGUCAGUUCUAUGUCAGGAGUGAGGGCAUGGGUGCUAAGGUCCAUGUCCUAAAGGAGAACAAUCCGGACCAACAGCUAAGGUCCCGAAAUGAAUACUAAGUUGAACUAACGAAGUCAGAUUGCUAAGACAGCUAGGAUGUUGGCUUGGAAGCAGCCAUUCAUUUAAAGAGUGCGUAACAGCUCACUAGUCGAGGAGUUUGGCGUGGAUAAUAAUCGGGCAUAAGUAUUCUACCGAAGCUUUGGGAUGAGAAAUCAUCGGUAGGGGAGCAUUCCACUCGGCGUCGAAGGUGAAGCGCGAGCUUUGCUGGAGCGUGUGGAAAAGCAAAUGUAGGUAUAAGUAACGAUAAAGGGGGUGGGAAACCCCCUCGCCGAAAGACUAAGGUUUCCUGAUCAACGCUAAUCGGAUCAGGGUAAGUCGGGUCCUAAGGCUCAGCCGAACGGCGAGGCCGAUGGCAGAACCGGUUAAUAUUCCGGUACUACCUGUGGGAGUGACGUGGAGACGGAGUCGUGACAGCGCCGCGGACUGACGGAAUAGUCCGUUGAAGGGUGUAGAUGCUGAUUGUUCCAGGCAAAUCCGGAGCAAGAGUCGAACCUGAUAGUAUGGAGCGUUCUUAGAACAAUCCAAUAGUGCGUGUAAUCAUACUUCCAAGAAAAUCCGCUAAACUUAAUCCUGCAGGUACCCGUACCGCAAACGGACACACGUAGUCGGGUUGAAUAUACUAAGGCGCUUGAGUGAUUCACGGUUAAGGAACUAGGCAAACUGACCCUGUAACUUCGGGAUAAAGGGUCCUCGCUUAACGGCGAGGCGCAGAGAAUAGGUCCAGGCAACUGUUUAACAAAAACACAGGGCUGUGCAAAAUUGAAAGAUGAAGUAUACAGCCUGACACCUGCCCGGUGCUGGAAGGUUAAGAGGAGAUGUCAUCGCAAGAGAAGCAUUGAAUUGAAGCCCCAGUAAACGGCGGCCGUAACUAUAACGGUCCUAAGGUAGCGAAAUUCCUUGUCGGGUAAGUUC